AGGACCAUGAGAAGAAAAGUGCCUCCCGUCUCUCUGUCCUCAUCCUUUCAGGUUUAGGACCUGCUGGCAGGAUCCUGACGUCGCGGCUCGCGCCAAAGUAGGACCUGGGAUUUUUAUCCUAAAUCCAGUGGAGAGCUUUAAAGGAUUCUGGAAAAGAGACAUGUUCCAAUUUACAUUCUAAAAUAGGAGUUCUGGCUGCUGUAUAAUAGAGAACAAAAUAGAAGGAAUGAGAGUAGAUGCCAGGGAACCAUUUAGAAGAUUGGAAAGUGGUCCUGUGUCUCCUCUGCUCACAUUCUCCCAUGCUUUGAAGUUGUGUCCUUCUCCAGUGUGGCCACUACCACAACACACCACCUUCACAGCCUAGAAAUGCAGUUGCAUCUUAUUUCAAUGAGUUCAGGAAAGAGACCUUGAGAAGUUUCCCUGGGGCCUGAAAAGGCCUUGCUGUGUUUGCACAAUCUGACCUAAAACUCUUGGGCUCAAGUGAUCCUCCUGCUUCAGCGUCCUGAGUAACUGAAACUGCAGGUAAAUGCCACCAUGCAUUUUAAAAUAGGAAGCUUUUAGAUUACAUAAUCCACUUCUGUGACUUCAGGGAUGAGCCAGUAAUGGUCCAGAGAGAUCGAGUGACUUGC
Fukomys damarensis (Damara mole-rat) is the source of this 629-nucleotide long non-coding RNA. RefSeq lists it as uncharacterized. Lineage: Eukaryota; Metazoa; Chordata; Mammalia; Rodentia; Bathyergidae. The record is from RefSeq and is a predicted model, not a curated record. The transcript has 3 exons.